Molecule: ribosomal RNA, 520 nt
Filed under: uncultured bacterium
Lineage: Bacteria
Description: bacterial SSU rRNA
Rfam family: Bacterial small subunit ribosomal RNA
Source: RNAcentral
AGAGUUUGAGUUAUGGCGUCAGGAUGAACGCUAGCGUACAGGCUUAACACAUGCAAGUCAGGGGCAGCAUGAACUUAGCUUGCUAAGUUGAUGGCGACCGGCGCACGGGUGAGUAACGCGUAUCCACUACCCCUUAGUAGGGCAUAGCCCGUAGAAAUGCGGAUUAAUACCCUAUGUUUUCCGGAGACGGCAUCAGAACUGGAACAAAGAUUGAUCGCUAAGGGAUGGGGAUGCGUACGAUUAGGUUGUUGGCGGGUAACGGCCCACCAAGCCUGCGAUCGUUAGGGGUUCUGAGAGGAAGGUCCCCCACACUGGUACUGAGACACGGACCAGACUCCUACGGGAGGCAGCAGUGAGGAAUAUUGGUCAAUGGGCGUGAGCCUGAACCAGCCAAGUAGCGUGCCAGGACGACGGCCCUACGGGUUGUAAACUGCUUUUAUCAGGGGAUAAAGUGCGGGACGUGUCCCUCAUUGCAGGUACCUGAUGAAUAAGGACCGGCUAAUUCCGUGCCAGCAGCUGC